AGGGUUUGAUCCUGGCUCAGGACGAACGCUGGCGGCGUGCCUAACACAUGCAAGUCGAACGGAGGUAUUUGAGAAUUUAUUCUAAGAUAUCUUAGUGGCGAACGGGUGAGUAACGCGUAGGCAACCUACCUCAGGCUGGGGGAUAACACAUGGAAACGUGUGCUAAUACCGCAUAAAGUUUAACUGUGGCAUCGCAGAUAAAACAAAGGAGUAAUCCGGCAAGAGAUGGGCCUGCGUCCAAUUAGCUAGUUGGUGGGGUAAAAGCUUACCAAGGCGACGAUUGGUAGCCGAACUGAGAGGUUGAUCGGCCACAUUGGGACUGAGACACGGCCCAAACUCCUACGGGAGGCAGCAGUGGGGAAUAUUGCGCAAUGGGGGGAACCCUGACGCAGCAACGCCGCGUGAAGGAAGAAGGCUUUCGGGUUGUAAACUUCUUUGAAUGGGGACGAAGGAAGUGACGGUACCCAUAAAACAAGCCACGGCUAACUACGUGCCAGCAGCCGCGGUAAUACGUAGGUGGCAAGCGUUGUCCGGAAUUACUGGGUGUAAAGGGCGUGUAGGCGGGAGAGCAAGUCAGAUGUGAAAUUCCAAGGCUUAACCAUGGAGCUGCAUCUGAAACUGUUUUUCUUGAGUAUCGGAGAGGAAAGUGGAAUUCCUAGUGUAGCGGUGAAAUGCGUAGAGAUUAGGAGGAACACCAGUGGCGAAGGCGGCUUUCUGGACGAUAACUGACGCUGAGGCGCGAAAGCGUGGGGAGCAAACAGGAUUAGAUACCCUGGUAGUCCACGCUGUAAACGAUGGAUACUAGGUGUAGGAGGUAUCGACCCCUUCUGUGCCGGAGUUAACACAAUAAGUAUCCCACCUGGGGAGUACGGCCGCAAGGUUGAAACUCAAAGGAAUUGACGGGGGCCCGCACAAGCAGUGGAGUAUGUGGUUUAAUUCGAAGCAACGCGAAGAACCUUACCAGGUCUUGACAUCCCUUGAAGUUUGUAGAGAUACAAAUGUUCCUUCGGGACAAGGAGACAGGUGGUGCAUGGUUGUCGUCAGCUCGUGUCGUGAGAUGUUGGGUUAAGUCCCGCAACGAGCGCAACCCUUAUCGUUAGUUACCAGCACGUUAUGGUGGGGACUCUAACGAGACUGCCGGCGACAAGCCGGAGGAAGGUGGGGAUGAUGUCAAAUCAUCAUGCCCCUUAUGACCUGGGCUACACACGUACUACAAUGGCCGUUACAAUGGGAAGCUAAGCUGUGAAGUGGAGCAAAUCCCCAAAGGCGGUCCCAGUUCGGAUUGUGGGCUGAAACUCGCCCACAUGAAGUCGGAAUUGCUAGUAAUGGUAGGUCAGCAUACUACCGUGAAUACGUUCCCGGGCCUUGUACACACCGCCCGUCACACCAUGAGAGUUGGUAACACCCGAAGUCAGUAGUCUAACCGUAAGGAGGGCGCUGCCGAAGGUGGGACCGAUGAUUGGGGUGAAGUCGUAACAAGGUAGCCGUAUCGGAAGGUGCGGCUG
This 1505-nucleotide ribosomal RNA is filed under the name metagenome. RNAcentral's name for it is "bacterial SSU rRNA". It matches the Rfam family "Bacterial small subunit ribosomal RNA". The record is from RNAcentral.